This 433-nucleotide ribosomal RNA is filed under the name uncultured bacterium. RNAcentral's name for it is "partial 16S ribosomal RNA". It matches the Rfam family "Bacterial small subunit ribosomal RNA", at positions 29 to 507 of the family's 1533-position model. The record is from RNAcentral.
AACGAACGCUGGCGGCAUGCCUAACACAUGCAAGUCGAACGAGACCUUCGGGUCUAGUGGCGCACGGGUGCGUAACGCGUGGGAACCUGCCCUUAGGUUCGGAAUAACUCUCCGAAAGGGGUGCUAAUACCGGAUAAUGUCUUCGGACCAAAGAUUUAUCGCCUUUGGAUGGGCCCGCGUUGGAUUAGCUAGUUGGUAGGGUAAAAGCCUACCAAGGCGACGAUCCAUAGCUGGUCUGAGAGGAUGAUCAGCCACACUGGGACUGAGACACGGCCCAGACUCCUACGGGAGGCAGCAGUGGGGAAUAUUGGACAAUGGGCGAAAGCCUGAUCCAGCAAGGCCGCGUGAGUGAUGAAGGCCUUAGAGUUGUAAAGCUCUUUUACCCGGGAUGAUAAUGACAGUACCGGGAGAAUAAGCUCCGGCUAACUCCGUG